This 308-nucleotide long non-coding RNA is filed under the name Eucalyptus grandis. Its description in RNAcentral is "long non-coding RNA (EGRA_LNC006271)". The record is from RNAcentral. Lineage: Eukaryota; Viridiplantae; Streptophyta; Magnoliopsida; Myrtales; Myrtaceae.
UGUCCUAUGCAUCAUUAGUACUCCCAUGUAACAUUCAUCGAAGUCACAACGACGAAAAAAAAGCAUGCAAAGGGGAGUAACAAGUCAAACAUGUAGGGGCAUUGAAGAGGUUUUAAACACUUAGAAAAAAUUUAGCUUCAGAAAUCAGUUCUUCGGGCUAGUUUCCUUCUCGAUUUUCAUGAUCAAGACAUGUUCAAAAUCGAACAAAAACACAUCUAGGAUUCUUACCUUGCUUCCUAGUUUCUUUUUCAAGUGACUCUUGGCCAAGGAAACCACGAAAUUGUCCUCUGGAAGCACGUGGAAAUUGG